AAAGACACAAAAGAUUUUUAAAGAAAGGAUUUUCGGUCCUAAACUGUACGUUAACGCAGAAAUAUGUCCCACAAGAAGUAACCUUCAAAUGGUACAUUUGCCAAUCUGAUAUCUGUGAUGAAGAUAUGAACGAGAGAAAAUAUAUUUUACCCAACUAUUCUUUAACAGUAAAGAUAGAGGGCAGGUAUCGCUGUACUGCCAACAAUAGCGGUGGAAUAGAUACGUCAUCAAUAAUAUCAGUUGUCAAAGAAUCCAAACAAACAGAGAAGACCCGAAAAGCAACCCUGGAGCCAGUUACACGAAGCCUGGAUAGCGUUAUACCGGACACUUAACCUGCAAAGACGCCUCAGUGGCGCUAGAUCAAGGGCUGGGGCUUUCCCCUUCUUCAGUGGAACCAGCUCCGAAGCCACGACAAAAAAACAGAUUUGGAAGAUAAUGAAAAAAAUAAGAAAAUUAGAAAAGUCACUGAAAGUUUCGAAGAUGGAGGCAGAAAUUCGAUUUUUCAAUGGAAGUAAAGUGGAAAAGAUUCCAAUGACUUAAUUUACUUUACGUAGUAAAAUUCCCAACACUAGAUUUAUCUACAAAACUAUCCUAACACUGCAAUAUAUAAGAGAUGGAAGUUUUAUGAAAAUUUUUUAAUAGCUUAUAAGCAUUAUCAUGCAAAAAUGAAAUUUAAAUAAUUGCGUGUGCGAUAGUUAAUUUAAUUUUAUGUUAUGAGCAACAAACCCAUAGAAGAUCUCAAUUUUACAUUGCACGUUCUAUCCUUUCCUUAAUCAAGUAGCAUUUGCAAAGCCAAUAACUCUCAAUGGCAAAAACUUUUUCCCUACCAAAAAUUUUAAUAAAUAUACAUAUUGUUGGUCA
Xenia sp. Carnegie-2017 is the source of this 861-nucleotide long non-coding RNA. RefSeq lists it as uncharacterized. The record is from RefSeq and is a predicted model, not a curated record. NCBI's taxonomy places the organism in Eukaryota, Metazoa, Cnidaria, Anthozoa, Malacalcyonacea, Xeniidae. The transcript has 3 exons.